GUGCACGCUGGCGGCAGGCCUAACACAUGCAAGUCGAGCGGCAGCGGGUCCUUCGGGAUGCCGGCGAGCGGCGGACGGGUGAGGAAUGCGUCGGAAUCUGCCUUUUUGUGGGGGAUAACGUAGGGAAACUUACGCUAAUACCGCAUACGACCUACGGGUGAAAGUGGGGGACCGCAAGGCCUCACGCAGAAAGAUGAGCCGACGUCGGAUUAGCUAGUUGGCGGGGUAAAGGCCCACCAAGGCGACGAUCCGUAGCUGGUCUGAGAGGAUGAUCAGCCACACUGGAACUGAGACACGGUCCAGACUCCUACGGGAGGCAGCAGUGGGGAAUAUUGGACAAUGGGCGCAAGCCUGAUCCAGCCAUGCCGCGUGUGUGAAGAAGGCCUUCGGGUUGUAAAGCACUUUUGUCCGGAAAGAAAUCCUGUCGGCUAAUACCCGGCGGGGAUGACGGUACCGGAAGAAUAAGCACCGGCUAACUUCGUG
Molecule: ribosomal RNA, 483 nt
Filed under: uncultured bacterium
Lineage: Bacteria
Description: partial 16S ribosomal RNA
Rfam family: Bacterial small subunit ribosomal RNA
Source: RNAcentral